This 466-nucleotide ribosomal RNA is filed under the name uncultured bacterium. RNAcentral describes it as "SSU rRNA". It matches the Rfam family "Bacterial small subunit ribosomal RNA", at positions 1 to 471 of the family's 1533-position model. The record is from RNAcentral.
GGCUUAGAGUUUGAUCCUGGCUCAGAUUGAACGCUGGCGGCAUGCCUUACACAUGCAAGUCGAACGGCAGCACGGGAGCAAUCCUGGUGGCGAGUGGCGAACGGGUGAGUAAUAUAUCGGAACGUGCCCAGUAGUGGGGGAUAACUACUCGAAAGAGUAGCUAAUACCGCAUACGACCUGAGGGUGAAAGCGGGGGAUCGCAAGACCUCGCGCUAUUGGAGCGGCCGAUAUCAGAUUAGCUAGUUGGUGGGGUAAAGGCCUACCAAGGCAACGAUCUGUAGUUGGUCUGAGAGGACGACCAGCCACACUGGGGCUGAGACACGGCCCAGACUCCUACGGGAGGCAGCAGUGGGGAAUUUUGGACAAUGGGCGCAAGCCUGAUCCAGCAAUGCCGCGUGCAGGAAGAAGGCCUUCGGGUUGUAAACAGCUUUUGUCAGGGAAGAAAUCCUCUAGGUUAAUACGGUCG